This is a non-coding RNA of Danio rerio (zebrafish), 974 nucleotides long. The record is from RefSeq and is a predicted model, not a curated record. NCBI's taxonomy places the organism in Eukaryota, Metazoa, Chordata, Actinopteri, Cypriniformes, Danionidae.
GUUAUUAUUUUUCAGAUCCUCCAAAGAGCGUCUCAGUGUCCGUCAGUGGAUCUGCUGUAAUAGUGUCUGGAGAUUCAGUGACUCUGAGCUGCAGCAGCGACUCAAUCCCUCCUGCACUGAACUUCAGCUGGUUAAAAGAAGAAUCAUCUGUAGGAUCUGGAAGAAUCUUCAGCAUCUCAAACAUCAGCUCUGAUCACAGUGGAGAAUACAAGUGUAGAGCCAGAAAUGAACAUGGAGAGAAAAACUCUGAUCCUGUGAUGCUGAAUGUCAUGUAUCCUCCCAGGAAUGUCUCAGUAUUUAUAAAUGGAUCUGCUGUAAUAGUGUCUGGAGAUUCAGUGACUCUGAGCUGCAGCAGCGACUCAAACCCUCCUGCUGUCAAAUAUAUCUGGUUUAAGGAGAGUCAAAGCUCAGCUGUUGGAUCUGGACAGAGUUUUAGUGCACUAGAUAGUGGCCGAUACUACUGUGAGGCUGAGAAUAAAUAUGGCUCUCAGAGAUCAGAGUCUGUUUCAGUCACUGAAGGUAUUUUCUAGAAACAGACACUCUUUCAGUUUCUUCUGUCUCUGCUGUCAAAUGAUCUUCAUCAGCGUCUUGUUUCAGCGGUUCAGAGAUCUGCUCUGCUCACACUUACUGGGGUUGUGGCGGGAUGUGGAGGAUUGAUCUUCAUCAUCAUCAUCAUUAUUGUGUUCAUAUGGAAGAAGAAGAGGAGAGACGGUGGAGCUGAAGAUACCAGAGAAAUUCAGAAUCCCAUUGGCAGAUCAGCAGAAACAGCUUCAGCCAAUGACAGUGCAGUGUAUUCACUAGUAUCAGCCAAUCAGAGCGAGGAUCUUUACACCAACAUUACAGCAGUGAAACCCAAACGCUCCAGCAGAGCAGAAGCAGGAGAUGUGGAGGAUCUUCAAUACGCCAGUGUUCAUCACUUCAAGAACAAAGACAUGAAGACUGAAGAACAUCAGAAGAUGGAGAUGCAGCGUCCG